UGGCAGGCUGGACCCAAUGAUCUCUCA
RNAcentral lists this non-coding RNA (27 nucleotides) under Mus musculus (house mouse). Lineage: Eukaryota; Metazoa; Chordata; Mammalia; Rodentia; Muridae. The record is from RNAcentral.